UACGUAGGUGGCGAGCGUUGUCCGGAAUUAUUGGGCGUAAAGGGAGCGCAGGCGGGAAGGUAAGUCUAUCUUAAAAGUGCGGGGCUCAACCCCGUGAGGGGAUAGAAACUAUCAUUCUUGAGUGCAGGAGAGGAAAGCGGAAUUCCUAGUGUAGCGGUGAAAUGCGUAGAUAUUAGGAGGAACACCAGUGGCGAAGGCGGCUUUCUGGACUGUAACUGACGCUGAGGCUCGAAAGCCAGGGGAGCGAACGGG
RNAcentral lists this ribosomal RNA (252 nucleotides) under Dongibacter bovis. RNAcentral describes it as "Selenomonas bovis partial 16S ribosomal RNA". It matches the Rfam family "Bacterial small subunit ribosomal RNA", at positions 524 to 776 of the family's 1533-position model. The record is from RNAcentral. Lineage: Bacteria; Bacillati; Bacillota; Negativicutes; Selenomonadales; Selenomonadaceae.